UUGGAUGUCCAGACUGGGCCUGCUCUGUGAGACUGGGAAAGUGGGGGCAGUGCCCACACACAGUAACCGGGGAAGAAGAGCAAGAGAAGAAACAGAGCAGCCCACGGAACUGAACUCCUAGGAACAAGAACUUAGGGGCUAAAGCAGUAAGGUUGCAAAACCGAGCACAGUUUGAAGUAUGAAGUGAGAUCCUGGCUCAAAACACAAAACAAAACCUAGGGUUUUAAAAGCUAUUAGUUUAUUCAGUUUACCUGUGGAGGUUGGAGGUCAGAGGAACUUUCCAGAAUAAGUUCUACUAUCGCUUCUCAGCCUUUUGGCUAAGAUCAAGUGCAGAAUAAGUUCUACUGUGGCUUCUGGGGUCAAACUCUGGUUGUCAGGCUUGAUGUGUGAUAAACACUUUUACACAGUGAGCCACUUUGCUGCUCCCAAAACCUAGGGUCUCAAAAAGGCCUUGCAGCAGGAUGUCAAUGUCUGAUAGAAUCAAUAUACCAUACAUUUAUUUAUACCAUCUUUGGGGAAGGGGGUUGAGACAGGGUUUCUCUGGAUAGCCCUGACUGUUCUGGAACUCUCUCUAGACCAGCUGCCCUCAAAUUCAGAGAUCUGCCUGCUGAGUGCUGGGAUAAAAGGCGUGUGCCACCCCUGGCUUUGUUUCAGGGUUUUGUCUCCCAGAUAAGGGAAAUAAAGGAUCAGAGAACUUGUCCAGGGUCACACUGUUUUUUGUUUGUUUUGUUUUGUUUUGUUUGUUUGUUUGUAGACAGGGUCUCACUGUGUAUCCCUGGCUGGUCUGUAACUUGCUAUAUAGAUCACACUGGCCUUGACCUCACAGAGAUCUGCCUGCCUCUGCUGUAAUUAUAGGCAUGUGGCACCAUCCCCUACUAAUCACACAAACUCUUAAGUGACAGAGACAGCAUUUGACUCUAGACCAUCAUUCCCCCUCAAAAAAUUUAUUCACCAAAGGAAAAGGAAGCAGAGAAAAGACCAGCGUCCCAGAAGGAAGGUGACAGCAGUCUCUGGGGGAGGGACUGUGGUUUCUCUGAUCUCAGCACCCCCCUCCGCCCAGGCCCCACCCCUGCCCCUCCCAGAGCUGCCUAGAAGUGGUAGGUUAGAGCUCCUCCUGGGUCACCCCUUUCCCUUUGGGGAAAGAAUUACAGACCCAGGCCCUUUCUACCAGAGGACUCUUCUCCAUCAUCAAAUCCCUCCUGGGGGGUGGGGAGUGCAUCUUCCUACAUCCCCACCUACCAGACCUCCAGGGCCCGGGCCCCCAAAGCAGGUCAUCUGAGAUGACGGUCAAGCUAGAUUUUGAAGAAUGUCUCAAGGACUCACCCCGCUUCCGAGCCUCGAUUGAACUGGUGGAAGCUGAAGUGUCAGAAUUGGAGACCCGCCUGGAAAAGCUUCUCAAGCUGGGUUCCUGCCUUCUGGAGAGUGGCCACCAUUACCUUGCCGCCAGCCGGGCCUUCGUUGUUGGCAUUUGUGACCUGGCUCACCUGGGUCCACCAGAGCCCAUGAUGGCGGAGUGUCUGGAAAAAUUCACUGAGAGUCUGAACCACAAGCUGGACAGCCAUGCUGAGCUUCUUGAUGCUACUCAACACACACUCCAGCAGCAAAUCCAGACUCUGGUCAAGGAAGGUCUCCGGGGCUUCCGAGAGGCUCGCAGGGAUUUCUGGCGAGGGGCAGAGAGCCUGGAGGCUGCUCUUUCCCACAAUGCAGAGGUCCCCAGGCGCCGUGUCCAAGAAGCAGAGGAUGCUGGAACUGCUUUGAGGACCGCUAGAGCUGUGUACCGGAGCCGAGCAUUAGAUUAUGCCCUGCAGGUCAAUGUGAUCGAGGAUAAGAGGAAAUUCGACAUCAUGGAGUUCAUACUGCGUUUGGUUGAGGCACAGGCCACCUAUUUCCAGCAGGGCCAUGAAGAGCUAAACCAGCUGGCUCAGUAUCGGAAGGAAUUGGGUGCCCAGUUGCACAACCUGGUCUUGAACUCAGCUCGUGAGAGGAGAGACAUGGAACAGAGGCACGUGCUACUGAAGCAGAAGGAGCUGGGUGGUGAGGAGCCAGAGCCCAGCCUAAAGGAGGGAUCUAGUGGCUUGGUAAUGGAAGGACAUCUUUUCAAACGCGCCAGCAAUGCAUUUAAGACCUGGAGCAGACGCUGGUUUACCAUUCAGAACAACCAACUGGUUUACCAGAAGAAAUAUAAGGACCCUGUAACCGUGGUGGUGGAUGACCUUCGUCUCUGUACAGUGAAGCUCUGUCCAGACUCAGAAAGGCGUUUCUGUUUUGAAGUAGUGUCCACCAGCAAGUCCUGUCUCCUCCAGGCUGACUCUGAGCGUCUCCUGCAGUUGUGGGUCAGUGCUGUUCAAAGUAGCAUUGCCUCAGCCUUCAGUCAGGCUCACCUGGAGAACAGCCCUCGGGGGCCAGGCCAGGUCUCAGGAUACCAUUCCCCAGGCUCUGCUGCUACUCUGAGUUGUGGUGGACCAGCCAGAGGAAGGGAACCUGGGGGAGUUGGGCAGGUGGCAGCCCAGGUACAAAGUGUGGAUGGAAAUGCUCAGUGCUGCGACUGUAAGGAGCCAGCCCCAGAGUGGGCCAGCAUCAACCUUGGUAUCACUCUCUGCAUUCAGUGCUCCGGCAUCCACAGGAGCCUUGGCGUUCAUUUCUCCAAAGUCCGCUCUCUGACCCUUGAUUCCUGGGAACCAGAACUAGUGAAGCUUAUGUGUGAGCUGGGGAAUGUUGUCAUCAACCAGAUCUAUGAGGCCCGGGUGGAGGCCAUGGCCGUGAAGAAGCCAGGGCCCAGCUGCUCCCGACAGGAAAAGGAAGCCUGGAUUCAUGCCAAGUAUGUGGAGAAAAAGUUCCUGACCAAGCUUCCUGAAAUUCGAGGGAGAAGAGGUGGCAGGGGACCCCCAAGAGGACAUCCUCCUGUGCCCCCAAAGCCUUCCAUCAGGCCACAGUCGGGGAUUGUCAGAUCCAAGUCAGAAUUCUCUUCUAGCCUGUGAGUUUCUCCUCCAAAAUGGGGCAAAUGUGAACCAAGCAGACAGUGCUGGCCGGGGCCCACUCCACCAUGCCACCAUUCUUGGCCACACAGGGCUUGCUUGCUUGUUCCUGAAACGGGGUGCGGAUCUGGGGGCUCGAGACACAGAAGGCAGGGACCCUCUGACUAUCGCAAUGGAAACCACCAAUGCUGACAUCGUAACUCU
This is a non-coding RNA of Rattus norvegicus (Norway rat), 3179 nucleotides long. The record is from RefSeq and is a predicted model, not a curated record. NCBI's taxonomy places the organism in Eukaryota, Metazoa, Chordata, Mammalia, Rodentia, Muridae.